Molecule: ribosomal RNA, 376 nt
Filed under: uncultured eukaryote
Lineage: Eukaryota
Description: SSU rRNA
Rfam family: Eukaryotic small subunit ribosomal RNA
Source: RNAcentral
AGCUCCAAUAGCGUAUAUUAAAGUUGUUGCAGUUAAAAAGCUCGUAGUUGGAUUUCUGGCAGAGUGACUCCUACCAGCAUGCUUGCUUGGCCAGGGGCGCCCUACCAUCCUUCGGUAAACCUCUAGGGCAUUCAUUUAUCUUAGAGCGGCUCCGAUAUUUUACCUUGAGAAAAUUAGAGUGUUUCAGGCAGGCUAUAGCCGGAAUACAUUAGCAUGGAAUAAUGGAAAAGGACUACUACCUCUUCUGUUGGUCUGGGAGGCAGCAGUAAUGAUUAAUAGGGAUAGUUGGGGGCAUUAGUACUUAACUGUCAGAGGUGAAAUUCUCCGAUUUGUUAAAGACUAACUUAUGCGAAAGCAUUUGCCAAGGAUGUUUUCA